GAUGAACGCUAGCUACAGGCUUAACACAUGCAAGUCGAGGGGCAGCAUGGUCUUAGCUUGCUAAGGCCGAUGGCGACCGGCGCACGGGUGAGUAACACGUAUCCAACCUGCCGUCUACUCUUGGACAGCCUUCUGAAAGGAAGAUUAAUACAAGAUGGCAUCAUGAGUCCACAUGUUCACAUGAUUAAAGGUAUUCCGGUAGACGAUGGGGAUGCGUUCCAUUAGAUAGUAGGCGGGGUAACGGCCCACCUAGUCUUCGAUGGAUAGGGGUUCUGAGAGGAAGGUCCCCCACAUUGGAACUGAGACACGGUCCAAACUCCUACGGGAGGCAGCAGUGAGGAAUAUUGGUCAAUGGGCGAGAGCCUGAACCAGCCAAGUAGCGUGAAGGAUGACUGCCCUAUGGGUUGUAAACUUCUUUUAUAAAGGAAUAAAGUCGGGUAUGCAUACCCGUUUGCAUGUACUUUAUGAAUAAGGAUCGGCUAACUCCGUGCCAGCAGCCGCGGUAAUACGGAGGAUCCGAGCGUUAUCCGGAUUUAUUGGGUUUAAAGGGAGCGUAGAUGGAUGUUUAAGUCAGUUGUGAAAGUUUGCGGCUCAACCGUAAAAUUGCAGUUGAUACUGGAUAUCUUGAGUGCAGUUGAGGCAGGCGGAAUUCGUGGUGUAGCGGUGAAAUGCUUAGAUAUCACGAAGAACUCCGAUUGCGAAGGCAGCCUGCUAAGCUGCAACUGACAUUGAGGCUCGAAAGUGUGGGUAUCAAACAGGAUUAGAUACCCUGGUAGUCCACACGGUAAACCAUUAAUGGGCGCUGUUUGCGAUAUACAGCAAGCGGCCAAGCGAAAGCGUUAAGUAUUCCACCUGGGGAGUACGCCGGCAACGGUGAAACUCAAAGGAAUUGACGGGGGCCCGCACAAGCGGAGGAACAUGUGGUUUAAUUCGAUGAUACGCGAGGAACCUUACCCGGGCUUAAAUUGCAGAUGAAUUACGGUGAAAGCCGUAAGCCGCAAGGCAUCUGUGAAGGUGCUGCAUGGUUGUCGUCAGCUCGUGCCGUGAGGUGUCGGCUUAAGUGCCAUAACGAGCGCAACCCUUGUUGUCAGUUACUAACAGGUUCCGCUGAGGACUCUGACAAGACUGCCAUCGUAAGAUGUGAGGAAGGUGGGGAUGACGUCAAAUCAGCACGGCCCUUACGUCCGGGGCUACACACGUGUUACAAUGGGGGGUACAGAGGGCCGCUACCACGCGAGUGGAUGCCAAUCCCAAAAACCUCUCUCAGUUCGGACUGGAGUCUGCAACCCGACUCCACGAAGCUGGAUUCGCUAGUAAUCGCGCAUCAGCCACGGCGCGGUGAAUAAAAGGCCGGGCCUUGUACU
This 1364-nucleotide ribosomal RNA is filed under the name uncultured bacterium. RNAcentral's name for it is "bacterial SSU rRNA". It matches the Rfam family "Bacterial small subunit ribosomal RNA", at positions 28 to 1387 of the family's 1533-position model. The record is from RNAcentral.